RNAcentral lists this ribosomal RNA (301 nucleotides) under uncultured bacterium. RNAcentral's name for it is "partial 16S ribosomal RNA". It matches the Rfam family "Bacterial small subunit ribosomal RNA", at positions 509 to 807 of the family's 1533-position model. The record is from RNAcentral.
CAGUAGCCGCGGGAAUACGAGGGGGGCAAGCGUUGUUCGGAAUUAUUGGGCGUAAAGGGCGCGUAGGCGGAUUUUUAAGUCAAGGGUGAAAUCCCGAGGCUCAACCUCGGAACUGCCUUUGAUACUGGAGAACUUGAGUUCGGAAGAGGUUGGUGGAACAGCUAGUGUAGAGGUGAAAUUCGUAGAUAUUAGCUAGAACACCAGUGGCGAAGGCGGCCAACUGGUCCGAUACUGACGCUGAGGUGCGAAAGCGUGGGAAGCAAACAGGAUUAGAUACCCCAGUAGUCCCUGUCUCUUAUAC